GGCUUCCAGGGAUUCUCCUACUCCUCCACCCAUCUCACCAUAGGAGUUCUGGGAUUAUAGAAGCCACUGUCCGUUUCCACAUGGGUCCUGAGGACUCACGCUCAGGCCUUCGCGCUGUGCACCACGCGCUGUACACGCUGACUUCCAACGACUUUCCCAUGGGAUCUCAGGUCACAGGUUCAUCACAGCUACACGCUGACUUCCAACGACUUUCCCAUAGGAUCUCAGGUCACAGGUUCAUCACAGCUACACGCUGACUUCCAACGACUUUCCCAUGGGAUCUCAGGUCACAGGUUCAUCACAGCUACACGCUGACUUCCAACGACUUUCCCAUGGGAUCUCAGGUCACAGGUUCAUCACAGCUACACGCUGACUUCCAACGACUUUCCCAUGGGAUCUCAGGUCACAGGUUCAUCACAGCUACUCAUGGGCGUUGGGCAUCUGACUUCUGUCCACUGCACACUUCACACUUAGCAUACCUCCACGCCUGGCUAUGUACUCUGGUCACUCCCAACAGCUACCGUCACCUCUGGGAUGUGCUCAGUUCUGUGCAAAUGGUGCAUACUCUGUGUGCAGAGCCUCUCCCAGUCCUCUCCGAUUCCUCUGAAUUCUGAGAUAUCCACAUUACUCUUCCGACACCCGUUGGCUCAAACACUCCCUCGGUUACUGACAACUGUGUGUGUGUAACUUUUGUAUCUGAUACCAUCAUGGUGAUUAUGACCUCAAAACUACCUUGGAGAAGCUCAACAUACAGUUUUCUAACAUACAGUUUUGUCACCAUGCUCAUUUGUCUGCCUGUCUGUCCGGUAAGCUCCCUGAGGUCAGAGUUGUAUGGUCGCUAUCUAUGCUCCUCGCACUACUUCAGAUGAUUGUUUUAACAAAACAGGUGUUCGGUGCAUACAUUUGGAAUCACUGUCAUCUGCGGACGAGCAAAUGCAAUGGGCUUUGGGAUAACAAUAAUUCUGUAGAGUGCAAUGAGGUUUUAAAAGAGUGUAGCUUUUUACAUUCUCUUUAUAAAACAAAGAUAGCGAUGCCUUCCUUGAAUAGUUUUAUUAAAGGGUAGAACUAACCUAA
This 1074-nucleotide long non-coding RNA is filed under the name Rattus norvegicus (Norway rat). Its description in RNAcentral is "long non-coding RNA NONRATT021015". Lineage: Eukaryota; Metazoa; Chordata; Mammalia; Rodentia; Muridae. The record is from RNAcentral.